GACGAACGCUGGCGGCGUGCUUAACACAUGCAAGUCGAACGGAAAGGCCCCCUUGUGGGGUACUCGAGUGGCGAACGGGUGAGUAACACGUGAGUAACCUACCCUUGACUUUGGGAUAACUUCAGGAAACUGGGGCUAAUACCGGAUAGGAGCUCCUGCUGCAUGGUGGGGGUUGGAAAGUUUCGGCGGUUGGGGAUGGACUCGCGGCUUAUCAGCUUGUUGGUGGGGUAGUGGCUCACCAAGACUUUUACGGGUAGCCGGCCUGAGAGGGUGACCGGCCACGUUGGGACUGAGAUACGGCCCAGACUCCUACGGGAGGCAGCAGGGGGGAAUAUUGCACAAUGGGAGGAAGCCUGAUGCAGCAACGCCGCGUGCAGGAUGACGGCCUUCGGGUUGUAAACCGCUUUCGCCUGUGACGAAGCGUGAGUGACGGUAAUGGGUAAAGAAGCACCGGCUAACUACGUG
Molecule: ribosomal RNA, 465 nt
Filed under: uncultured bacterium
Lineage: Bacteria
Description: partial 16S ribosomal RNA
Rfam family: Bacterial small subunit ribosomal RNA
Source: RNAcentral